This 1528-nucleotide ribosomal RNA is filed under the name human gut metagenome. Its description in RNAcentral is "bacterial SSU rRNA". It matches the Rfam family "Bacterial small subunit ribosomal RNA". The record is from RNAcentral.
AGAGUUUGAUCCUGGCUCAGGACGAACGCUGGCGGCGUGCCUAAUACAUGCAAGUAGAACGCUGAAGAGAGGAGCUUGCUCUUCUUGGAUGAGUUGCGAACGGGUGAGUAACGCGUAGGUAACCUGCCUUGUAGCGGGGGAUAACUAUUGGAAACGAUAGCUAAUACCGCAUAACAAUGGAUGACACAUGUCAUUUAUUUGAAAGGGGCAAUUGCUCCACUACAAGAUGGACCUGCGUUGUAUUAGCUAGUAGGUGAGGUAACGGCUCACCUAGGCGACGAUACAUAGCCGACCUGAGAGGGUGAUCGGCCACACUGGGACUGAGACACGGCCCAGACUCCUACGGGAGGCAGCAGUAGGGAAUCUUCGGCAAUGGGGGCAACCCUGACCGAGCAACGCCGCGUGAGUGAAGAAGGUUUUCGGAUCGUAAAGCUCUGUUGUAAGUCAAGAACGAGUGUGAGAGUGGAAAGUUCACACUGUGACGGUAGCUUACCAGAAAGGGACGGCUAACUACGUGCCAGCAGCCGCGGUAAUACGUAGGUCCCGAGCGUUGUCCGGAUUUAUUGGGCGUAAAGCGAGCGCAGGCGGUUUAAUAAGUCUGAAGUUAAAGGCAGUGGCUUAACCAUUGUUCGCUUUGGAAACUGUUAGACUUGAGUGCAGAAGGGGAGAGUGGAAUUCCAUGUGUAGCGGUGAAAUGCGUAGAUAUAUGGAGGAACACCGGUGGCGAAAGCGGCUCUCUGGUCUGUAACUGACGCUGAGGCUCGAAAGCGUGGGGAGCGAACAGGAUUAGAUACCCUGGUAGUCCACGCCGUAAACGAUGAGUGCUAGGUGUUGGAUCCUUUCCGGGAUUCAGUGCCGCAGCUAACGCAUUAAGCACUCCGCCUGGGGAGUACGACCGCAAGGUUGAAACUCAAAGGAAUUGACGGGGGCCCGCACAAGCGGUGGAGCAUGUGGUUUAAUUCGAAGCAACGCGAAGAACCUUACCAGGUCUUGACAUCCCGAUGCUAUUUCUAGAGAUAGAAAGUUACUUCGGUACAUCGGUGACAGGUGGUGCAUGGUUGUCGUCAGCUCGUGUCGUGAGAUGUUGGGUUAAGUCCCGCAACGAGCGCAACCCCUAUUGUUAGUUGCCAUCAUUCAGUUGGGCACUCUAGCGAGACUGCCGGUAAUAAACCGGAGGAAGGUGGGGAUGACGUCAAAUCAUCAUGCCCCUUAUGACCUGGGCUACACACGUGCUACAAUGGUUGGUACAACGAGUUGCGAGUCGGUGACGGCAAGCUAAUCUCUUAAAGCCAAUCUCAGUUCGGAUUGUAGGCUGCAACUCGCCUACAUGAAGUCGGAAUCGCUAGUAAUCGCGGAUCAGCACGCCGCGGUGAAUACGUUCCCGGGCCUUGUACACACCGCCCGUCACACCACGAGAGUUUGUAACACCCGAAGUCGGUGAGGUAACCUUUUGGAGCCAGCCGCCUAAGGUGGGAUAGAUGAUUGGGGUGAAGUCGUAACAAGGUAGCCGUAUCGGAAGGUGCGGCUG